UACGUAGGGCGCAAGCGUUGUCCGGAAUUAUUGGGCGUAAAGAGCUCGUAGGCGGCUUGUCACGUCGGGUGUGAAAGCCCGGGGCUUAACCCCGGGUCUGCAUUCGAUACGGGCUAGCUAGAGUGUGGUAGGGGAGAUCGGAAUUCCUGGUGUAGCGGUGAAAUGCGCAGAUAUCUGGAGGAACACCGGUGGCGAAGGCGGCAUUCUGGACCGAUAUUGACGCUGAGGAGCGAAAGCCAGGGGAGCAAACGGG
RNAcentral lists this ribosomal RNA (253 nucleotides) under uncultured bacterium. Its description in RNAcentral is "partial 16S ribosomal RNA". It matches the Rfam family "Bacterial small subunit ribosomal RNA", at positions 524 to 776 of the family's 1533-position model. The record is from RNAcentral.